GAAGAGAUGCCACAAAGUCACACUGCACAACAAACCACUGCACCUGACUUUUACAACAGAACGGAGAAUUGCUAAGCAGACUACACCAGAGAAGACAUGUGGAGUAGACACUGUGCCCUGCACUGACAUGCCUGCCAUCUAGGCUUUGAGGUGGUAUGCUCUGGCUCCAAUGAGCGUGGGUAACCCUUUUCCUAAGUUACAUUUAACUUCCUAGCUAUGCUGAUGUGCAGUAAUGUGGCUUCUCUCUUGAGAAUUGGUUUUAAUUAAAUUUAAUUAAAUUGGUUUUAAUAUUCUA
RNAcentral lists this long non-coding RNA (295 nucleotides) under Rattus norvegicus (Norway rat). RNAcentral describes it as "long non-coding RNA NONRATT027396". Lineage: Eukaryota; Metazoa; Chordata; Mammalia; Rodentia; Muridae. The record is from RNAcentral.